RNAcentral lists this ribosomal RNA (503 nucleotides) under uncultured bacterium. RNAcentral describes it as "bacterial SSU rRNA". It matches the Rfam family "Bacterial small subunit ribosomal RNA", at positions 16 to 507 of the family's 1533-position model. The record is from RNAcentral.
AUCAUGGCUCAGAUUGAACGCUGGCGGCAGGCCUAACACAUGCAAGUCGAAUGGUAACAGGAAACAGCUUGCUGUUUCGCUGACGAGUGGCGGACGGGUGAGUAAUGUCUGGGAAACUGCCUGAUGGAGGGGGAUAACUACUGGAAACGGUAGCUAAUACCGCAUAACGUCGCAAGACCAAAGAGGGGGGACCUUCGGGCCUCUUGCCAUCGGAUGUGCCCAGAUGGGAUUAGCUAGUAGGUGGGGUAACGGCUCACCUAGGCGACGAUCCCUAGCUGGUCUGAGAGGAUGACCAGCCACACUGGAACUGAGACACGGUCCAGACUCCUACGGGAGGCAGCAGUGGGGAAUAUUGCACAAUGGGCGCAAGCCUGAUGCAGCCAUGCCGCGUGUAUGAAGAAGGCCUUCGGGUUGUAAAGUACUUUCAGCGGGGAGGAAGGGAGUAAAGUUAAUACCUUUGCUCAUUGACGUUACCCGCAGAAGAAGCACCGGCUAACUCCGUG